Molecule: ribosomal RNA, 499 nt
Filed under: uncultured bacterium
Lineage: Bacteria
Description: partial 16S ribosomal RNA
Rfam family: Bacterial small subunit ribosomal RNA
Source: RNAcentral
AUUGAACGCUGGCGGAAUGCUUACACAUGCAAGUCGAACGGCAGCACGGACUUCGGUCUGGUGGCGAGUGGCGAACGGGUGAGUAAUGUAUCGGAACGUGCCCAGUCGUGGGGGAUAACGUAGUGAAAAUUACGCUAAUACCGCAUACGAUCUAUGGAUGAAAGCGGGGGAUCGCAAGACCUCUCGCGAUUGGAGCGGCCGAUAUCAGAUUAGGUAGUUGGUGGGGUAAAGGCCCACCAAGCCAACGAUCUGUAGCUGGUCUGAGAGGACGACCAGCCACACUGGAACUGAGACACGGUCCAAACUCCUACGGGAGGCAGCAGUGGGGAAUUUUGGACAAUGGGCGAAAGCCUGAUCCAGCCAUUCCGCGUGCAGGAUGAAGGCCCUCGGGUUGUAAACUGCUUUUGUACAGAACGAAAAGGUUUCUACUAAUACUAGGAGCUCAUGACGGUACUGUAAGAAUAAGCACCGGCUAACUACGUGCCAGCCGCCGCCGUAA